RNAcentral lists this unclassified non-coding RNA (233 nucleotides) under Hevea brasiliensis (rubber tree). Lineage: Eukaryota; Viridiplantae; Streptophyta; Magnoliopsida; Malpighiales; Euphorbiaceae. The record is from RNAcentral.
GUCAAAAGUGCUAGGCGCCCUUAAACAUUGGUCACAAUUUAUUUUUUGAAGAAAACUGAAGGAUGGUUUUCUCCAGUGUUGUCAAAAGCGCUAGGCCGCCCUUAAGGUGAGAAGGUUCUCCAUCACCCAAGGCGCUAAGUGCUCGCUUAAGUGAAGUGAAGUGCUAAUUUUCUCUAAAAUAAUAAAUAAUUAAAUACAAAUGUCUAAUUUAUUACACAAUCAAUAAAUUGCCA